Molecule: ribosomal RNA, 825 nt
Filed under: Corynebacterium stationis
Lineage: Bacteria; Bacillati; Actinomycetota; Actinomycetes; Mycobacteriales; Corynebacteriaceae
Description: bacterial SSU rRNA
Rfam family: Bacterial small subunit ribosomal RNA
Source: RNAcentral
GGGCGCAGCCUGAUGCAGCGACGCCGCGUGGGGGAUGAAGGCCUUCGGGUUGUAAACUCCUUUCGCUAUCGACGAAGCCACUUGUGGUGACGGUAGGUAGAUAAGAAGCACCGGCUAACUACGUGCCAGCAGCCGCGGUAAUACGUAGGGUGCAAGCGUUGUCCGGAAUUACUGGGCGUAAAGAGCUCGUAGGUGGUUUGUCGCGUCGUCUGUGAAAUCCCGGGGCUUAACUUCGGGCGUGCAGGCGAUACGGGCAUAACUUGAGUGCUGUAGGGGAGACUGGAAUUCCUGGUGUAGCGGUGAAAUGCGCAGAUAUCAGGAGGAACACCGAUGGCGAAGGCAGGUCUCUGGGCAGUAACUGACGCUGAGGAGCGAAAGCAUGGGUAGCGAACAGGAUUAGAUACCCUGGUAGUCCAUGCCGUAAACGGUGGGCGCUAGGUGUAGGGGGCUUCCACGUCUUCUGUGCCGUAGCUAACGCAUUAAGCGCCCCGCCUGGGGAGUACGGCCGCAAGGCUAAAACUCAAAGGAAUUGACGGGGGCCCGCACAAGCGGCGGAGCAUGUGGAUUAAUUCGAUGCAACGCGAAGAACCUUACCUGGGCUUGACAUGUACCGGAUCGGGCUAGAGAUAGUCUUUCCCUUGUGGUCGGUAUACAGGUGGUGCAUGGUUGUCGUCAGCUCGUGUCGUGAGAUGUUGGGUUAAGUCCCGCAACGAGCGCAACCCUUGUCUUAUGUUGCCAGCACGUUAUGGUGGGAACUCAUGAGAGACUGCCGGGGUUUAACUCGGGAGGGAAGGUGGGGAUGACGUCAAAUCAUCAUGCCCCUUA